This 402-nucleotide unclassified non-coding RNA is filed under the name soil metagenome. Its description in RNAcentral is "partial contains 5.8S ribosomal RNA, internal transcribed spacer 2, and large subunit ribosomal RNA". The stretch from base 1 to 121 matches the Rfam family "5.8S ribosomal RNA", at positions 35 to 154 of the family's 154-position model. The record is from RNAcentral.
GAUGAAGAACGCAGCGAAAUGCGAUAAGUAAUGUGAAUUGCAGAAUUCAGUGAAUCAUCGAAUCUUUGAACGCACCUUGCGCCCUUUGGCUAUUCCGAAGGGCAUGCCUGUUUGAGUAUCGUGAACACCUCAACUCUCAUGGUUUGCCAUGAUGAGCUUGGACUUUGGGGGUUUUGCUGGCCUUUGGUCGGCUCCUCUCAAACGGAUCAGCUUUCCGGUGUUUGGUGGCGUCACGGGUGUGAUAACUAUCUACGCCUGUGGUUUUCUGCCAGAUAACCUUCAGCGAUGGAGGUUCGCUGGGGCUCAUAAAUGUCUCUCUUCAGUGGAGACAGCUUUUUGGACGUUUGAUCUCAAAUCAGGUAGGACUACCCGCUGAACUUAAGCAUAUCAAUAAGCGGAGGA